This 579-nucleotide ribosomal RNA is filed under the name Triticum aestivum (bread wheat). Its description in RNAcentral is "partial small subunit ribosomal RNA". The record is from RNAcentral. Lineage: Eukaryota; Viridiplantae; Streptophyta; Magnoliopsida; Poales; Poaceae.
AUGUCGGCCAUCCUGAAGCAGCAGCGGCAGGCGAGCGCCUUGGCGCGUCGCAGGGUUGCAGACGAAGAAGGACCUGUGGAAGCUGAGGAGGAGCAGGCCGUUGCACGAGCCGUGGACCAUGAGUGCGCCGCGGCCGUCGUCGGCGAAGGGGCGGGGCACGGGCACCCUCUGGAUAACCCGCAGGACCGCCCGGCGCUUGUUGGUGGCGAGGUCGACGGCCUGGAGGCAGCCGCCGACGUCGUAGGUGAAGACGAGGGGCUGCCGUGGCUGGAAGGAGUGGUGCCUGCCGAUGAAGGCGGGGUCGGUGGCGAGGUUGCGCCAGGCCUUGCAGGCGGCGCGGGAGCGGAGGAGGUGCUUGGGCGGCAGGCAGGCGAGGAUCUCCGGGAUCAUGUCCUCGGGGAGGCCGCCGGAGGAGCCUCGCUCGGUCUCCCUCGUCGCCAUGGGACGGGACGGGAGGGGGCGAGGUCGGAGGGGGCGAGGUCGGAGGGGUUCGCGAACCUUCUGAGUUCUGACGGUGCCUGCGAAAAUUCCCCAGAUCCGGAUGAGCGAGCAAGAGAUGGUUGGAACCCCAGCACGUGA